GGAGAGGUGGCGGAGCUGGCUGAACGCGCACGCUUGGAAAGCGUGUAGGCGGUGUAAACCGUCUCGAGGGUUCGAAUCCCUCCCUCUCCG
This 90-nucleotide transfer RNA is filed under the name Thermoleophilia bacterium. RNAcentral describes it as "tRNA-Ser". It matches the Rfam family "tRNA". From Rfam's summary of the family: Transfer RNA (tRNA) molecules are approximately 80 nucleotides in length. Their secondary structure includes four short double-helical elements and three loops (D, anti-codon, and T loops). Lineage: Bacteria; Bacillati; Actinomycetota; Thermoleophilia. The record is from RNAcentral.